Molecule: ribosomal RNA, 253 nt
Filed under: uncultured bacterium
Lineage: Bacteria
Description: partial 16S ribosomal RNA
Rfam family: Bacterial small subunit ribosomal RNA
Source: RNAcentral
UACGUAGGGUGCAAGCGUUAUCCGGAAUUAUUGGGCGUAAAGAGCUCGUAGGCGGUUUGUCGCGUCUGCUGUGAAAACCCGAGGCUCAACCUCGGGCCUGCAGUGGGUACGGGCAGACUAGAGUGCGGUAGGGGAGAUUGGAAUUCCUGGUGUAGCGGUGGAAUGCGCAGAUAUCGGGAAGAACACCCGUGGCGAAGGCGGCUCUCUGGGACGGUACUGACGCUGAGACGCGAAAGCGUGGGGAGCAAACGGG